GAUGAACGCUGGCGGCGUGCCUAAUACAUGCAAGUCGAGCGAACGGACGAGAAGCUUGCUUCUCUGAUGUUAGCGGCGGACGGGUGAGUAACACGUGGAUAACCUACCUAUAAGACUGGGAUAACUUCGGGAAACCGUAGCUAAUACCGGAUAAUAUUUUGAACCGCAUGGUUCAAAAGUGAAAGACGGUCUUGCUGUCACUUAUAGAUGGAUCCGCGCUGCAUUAGCUAGUUGGUAAGGUAACGGCUUACCAAGGCAACGAUGCAUAGCCGACCUGAGAGGGUGAUGGGCCACACUGGAACUGAGACACGGUCCAGACUCCUACGGGAGGCAGCAGUAGGGAAUCUUCCGCAAUGGGCGAAAGCCUGACGGAGCAACGCCGCGUGAGUGAUGAAGGUCUUCGGAUCGUAAAACUCUGUUAUUAGGGAAGAACAUAUGUGUAAGUAACUGUGCACAUCUUGACGGUACCUAAUCAGAAAGCCACGGCUAACUACGUG
This 497-nucleotide ribosomal RNA is filed under the name uncultured bacterium. RNAcentral describes it as "partial 16S ribosomal RNA". It matches the Rfam family "Bacterial small subunit ribosomal RNA", at positions 28 to 507 of the family's 1533-position model. The record is from RNAcentral.